AACGAACGCUGGCGGCGUGCCUAACACAUGCAAGUCGUACGAGAAAUCCUGGGCAACUGGGAGAGUAAAGUGGCGCACGGGUGAGUAACGCGUGGAUAAUCUGCCCUUCAGUUGGGAACAACUCAUCGAAAGGUGGGCUAAUACCGAAUAAUACUGCAAGACUUUGGUCAAGCAGUCAAAGAGAGCCUCUGCUUGCAAGCCCUCGCUGAAGGAUGAGUCCGCGUACCAUUAGCUGGUUGGUAGGGUAAUGGCCUACCAAGGCGACGAUGGUUAGCUGGUCUGAGAGGAUGAUCAGCCACACUGGAACUGAGACACGGUCCAGACUCCUACGGGAGGCAG
RNAcentral lists this ribosomal RNA (339 nucleotides) under uncultured Pseudomonadota bacterium. Its description in RNAcentral is "bacterial SSU rRNA". It matches the Rfam family "Bacterial small subunit ribosomal RNA", at positions 29 to 351 of the family's 1533-position model. The record is from RNAcentral. Lineage: Bacteria; Pseudomonadati; Pseudomonadota.